CCCAGACUCCUACGGGAGGCAGCAGUGGGGAAUAUUGCACAAUGGGGGAAACCCUGAUGCAGCGACGCCGCGUGAGUGAAGAAGUAUUUCGGUAUGUAAAGCUCUCUCAGCAGGGAAGAAAAUGACGGUACCUGACUAAGAAGCCCCGGCUAACUACGUGCCAGCAGCCGCGGUAAUACGUAGGGGGCAAGCGUUAUCCGGAUUUACUGGGUGUAAAGGGAGCGUAGACGGUGAUGCAAGUCAGAAGUGAAAGCCCGGGGCUCAACUCCGGGACUGCUUUUGAAACUGUGUAACUGGAGUGCAGGAGAGGUAAGCGGAAUUCCUAGUGUAGCGGUGAAAUGCGUAGAUAUUAGGAGGAACACCAGUGGCGAAGGCGGCUUACUGGACUGUAACUGACGUUGAGGCUCGAAAGCGUGGGGAGCAAACAGGAUUAGAUACCCCGGUA
This 445-nucleotide ribosomal RNA is filed under the name uncultured bacterium. RNAcentral's name for it is "bacterial SSU rRNA". It matches the Rfam family "Bacterial small subunit ribosomal RNA", at positions 330 to 792 of the family's 1533-position model. The record is from RNAcentral.